Molecule: small RNA, 29 nt
Filed under: Bombyx mori (domestic silkworm)
Lineage: Eukaryota; Metazoa; Arthropoda; Insecta; Lepidoptera; Bombycidae
Description: piRNA piR-bmo-1945395
Source: RNAcentral
UCGUUUUCUAUCUGCCCGACAAUCGAAUU